AUGGCCGUGGGUUUUGCUGGUAGCGGCGGUGGCGAGGACCAGCAGCGGUAUGGCGGGAGGGUCACAGCGUUCGCGGCGCUCUCCUGCAUCACGGCGGCCAUGGGCGGCGCCAUCUUCGGCUACGACAUCGGCACCGCGGGCGGGGUGUCGUCCAUGGAACCGUUCCUGAGGGACUUCUUCCCGGACGUGCACCGGCGGAUGCAGGCCGGCGCCGGCGUCGGCAACUACUGCAAGUUUGACAGCCAGCUCCUCACGCUCUUCACCUCCUCGCUCUACGUCUCGGGGCUCCUCACGGCCGUGCUCGUCGCGUCGUGGUUCACGGAGAGGCACGGGCGCCGGCCGUCCAUGAUCCUCGGCGGCGUCGCGUACCUCGGCGGCGCCGCGGUCAGCGGAGGGGCAGUGAACGUGUACAUGGCCAUCCUCGGCAGGGCGCUGCUCGGCGUCGGCCUCGGGUUCGCCAAUCAGGCAGUGCCACUGUACCUGUCCGAGAUGGCGCCGGCGCGAUACAGGGGAGCCUUCAGCAACGGUUUCCAAUUCAGCCUCUGUCUCGGCGCUCUCGCCGCCACCGUCGUCAACUAUGGCGCCGAGAAGAUCAAGGCUGGCUGGGGCUGGAGGCUCUCGCUGGGCCUGGCCGGCGUCCCCGCUGUGCUGCUCACCGUCGGCGCCAUCUUCUUGCCGGAGACGCCCAACAGCCUCGUUCAGCAAGGGAAAGGCCGUGGCGAGGUGAAGGCGCUGCUCCAAAAGAUAAGAGGCGUCGACGCCGUCGACGAGGAGCUGGACGACAUCGUCGCCGCCAACGCAACGGGACAGGCCGGCGACAACGGCCUGCGCCUCAUCCUGUCGCAGCGCCGGUACCGCCCGCAGCUUGCCAUGGCCGUCCUGAUACCGUCCUUCACGCAGCUCACCGGGAUCAACGCUAUCGGCUUCUACGCGCCGGUGCUGCUGCGCACCAUUGGCAUGAGCGAGAGUGCGGCACUGCUGUCCACCAUCGUCAUGGUCAUCAUCUCCUCCGCGUCCACCUUCGCGUCCAUGCUCCUCGUCGACCGCUUCGGGAGGCGGACGCUCCUCGUCCUCGGCGGCGUCCAGAUGUUCCUCUCCGAGGUGCUCAUCGGCGGCAUCAUGGCCGCGAAGCUCCGCGACGAGGGCCAGGUCAGCAGGGCCUACGCCGUCGUCCUAAUCUUCCUCAUCGCCAUCUACUCCACCGGCUUCGGCUGGUCCUGGGGCCCGCUCAGCUGGCUGAUACCGAGUGAGAUCUUCCCGCUGGAGGUCCGGUCCGCCGGGCAGAGCAUCACGGUGGCGUCGGGAUUCGUGUUCACCAUCCUCGUCGCGCAGUACUUCCUGGCCAUGCUGUGCCGGCUGAAGGCGUGGCUGUUCUUCUUCUUCGCUGGCUGGAUCCUGGUCAUGACGGCGUUCGCGUACCUCUUCUUGCCGGAGACCAAGGGGAUCCCCAUUGAGCAGAUUGGGAACCUAUGGGGGAGGCACUGGUACUGGAAGAGAGUUGUGGGGGUUGAGGAAGUAGACGACGGUCAGAAGCUCUAA
RNAcentral lists this ribosomal RNA (1539 nucleotides) under Triticum aestivum (bread wheat). Its description in RNAcentral is "partial small subunit ribosomal RNA". The record is from RNAcentral. Lineage: Eukaryota; Viridiplantae; Streptophyta; Magnoliopsida; Poales; Poaceae.